This 473-nucleotide ribosomal RNA is filed under the name uncultured organism. Its description in RNAcentral is "partial 16S ribosomal RNA". It matches the Rfam family "Bacterial small subunit ribosomal RNA", at positions 335 to 799 of the family's 1533-position model. The record is from RNAcentral.
ACUCCUGCGGGAGGCAGCAGUGGGGAAUAUUGCACAAUGGGCGCAAGCCUGAUGCAGCCAUGCCGCGUGUAUGACGAAGGCCUUCGGGUUGUAAAGUACUUUCAGCGGGGAGGAAGGCGAUAAGGUUAAUAACCUUGUUGAUUGACGUUACCCGCAGAAGAAGCACCGGCUAACUCCGUGCCAGCAGCCGCGGUAAUACGGAGGGUGCAAGCGUUAAUCGGAAUUACUGGGCGUAAAGCGCACGCAGGCGGUCUGUCAAGUCGGAUGUGAAAUCCCCGGGCUCAACCUGGGAACUGCAUUCGAAACUGGCAGGCUAGAGUCUUGUAGAGGGGGGUAGAAUUCCAGGUGUAGCGGUGAAAUGCGUAGAGAUCUGGAGGAAUACCGGUGGCGAAGGCGGCCCCCUGGACAAAGACUGACGCUCAGGUGCGAAAGCGUGGGGAGCAAACAGGAUUAGAAACCCCUGUAGUCCCAUG